Herpailurus yagouaroundi (jaguarundi) is the source of this 1313-nucleotide long non-coding RNA. RefSeq lists it as uncharacterized. NCBI's taxonomy places the organism in Eukaryota, Metazoa, Chordata, Mammalia, Carnivora, Felidae. The record is from RefSeq and is a predicted model, not a curated record. The transcript is spliced from 2 exons.
CAGAUGAGGAAACGGAAACUCAGAGGUGCGAGUUGACUUGCCUCAGGCCCCAGUUGGCAGAGACAAGACUGGAAGGGAAGUCUGACGCUAUCCCAUCCAGGACGCCAAGGACUUGGGGCUAUCUAUAGUCAUAGGCACACUAUGUUGCUGGUGCUUUUUAAAUGGGAAAUGUAGGGAGAGGUAUGCCUUCUGAAUGUUCAAUAACAAGUGAGUUAAGUUGGGUGACUAAGCCUAUUGCAGAGUCUGAACAUGAGAUGAAAUCUGCAUGUGGGUAACAGUGGGACUGAAGAGGAAGCAACUGGCACUUUCAAGUGUUGAGUCAAGAUGUCCUAUGAGCAAGAUUUGGAGCACAGUGAAAGAGACAUCUUCCAAAGGAACAGAGUAGAGAUUGUUCCUGAAGGGUUUGAACAGCAUAAGCCUGAGGCAGAAAACAUAUGCUAUUGAAAAAUGGAUGUCUUUCUUUUGGAACUAAUGCUAGUGUUGGAUUUAUUCCCUCUUAUAAUUUACCUACCACCUGAAGGGAAAUUACCUUUUAUGAUGGUCGGAGGGGCACCUAGCUGUCUCAGCCUGUAGAGCAUGUGACUCUAAAUCUCAGGGUCGUGAGUUCAAGCCUCACAUUGGGCAUGGAGCCUACUUAAAAAAAAAAAAAAAAAAAAAAAAGAAAGAAAGAAAUCCUAUGGUGGUUGGAGUCUUUCUGUUGAUCCAGUGGUGGAAUCAUAUAGCCAGUCAGACAGAGGGAACAAAGCUUACAGUGCACUGCUGGAUUUCAUUGCGCCCAGCUUUGAAUCACUGAAGCACGUAACUCUAAAAAUAACUUAAUACGUUUGAUGCAUUUGUUUAUUGCUCUUUAUCUUCUGGAAUGCUAAAUAAAUCAUAGGGACUCAUUUUCAGUGUUGAAUGUAACUUAAGUUUUUUACCUUGUGGUCUUGGCCUGGCUGUUUAAAUUGGACCAAUUUCAUUAUUGACUUUCUUCCCUUCACUAUACAUUGUUCCAUUAAUUUCCCUACAGUCGUUUUUCUUGAUGUCCUGCCUUUCUAAGCUUUGUUGGGGUGGGGAAGAGUAAAUGAGUUGCUGAAAUAUCAAAUGCAGACUGCUUCUGAGCGGUUUGGGUUUGUGGUUUAACCAGUCUGUUAGCAACUUGAUUCUUUCAUUACUAGAUCAAUAUUUUCUUCAUUUUUUUUUCCCUCCUAAGAUGUAGGUAUUGGAAUUGUGCUUUGGAUCUAGAUUAUAUCCAAUGUCUAUAUGAAGUUGUACUAAGGAACCAUGUAUACAUUUCUAUAUGCAUUCACUUCAUAAAUAUUUUGAACAAUGAA